This 462-nucleotide ribosomal RNA is filed under the name uncultured bacterium. RNAcentral describes it as "partial 16S ribosomal RNA". It matches the Rfam family "Bacterial small subunit ribosomal RNA", at positions 29 to 506 of the family's 1533-position model. The record is from RNAcentral.
ACGAACGCUGGCGGCGUGCUUAACCCAUGCCAGUCGAACGGAAAGGCCCUGCUUGCCGGGUACUCGAGUGGCGAACGGGUGAGUAACACGUGGGUGAUCUGCCCUGCACUUCGGGAUAAGCCUGGGAAACUGGGUCUAAUACCGGAUAGGAGCCAUUUUUAGUGUGAUGGUUGGAAAGUUUUUUCGGUGUAGGAUGAGCUCGCGGCCUAUCAGCUUGUUGGUGGGGUAAUGGCCUACCAAGGCGGCGACGGGUAGCCGGCCUGAGAGGGUGGACGGCCACAUUGGGACUGAGAUACGGCCCAGACUCCUACGGGAGGCAGCAGUGGGGAAUAUUGCACAAUGGGCGCAAGCCUGAUGCAGCGACGCCGCGUGGGGGAUGACGGCCUUCGGGUUGUAAACUCCUUUCGCUAGGGACGAAGCUUUUGUGACGGUACCUAGAUAAGAAGCACCGGCUAACUACGU